UCAAUUUAAGUAUUCCAUGGAAAUACGGCACAUUUGACAUUUCCACAAGAUCCGAUUAAAUGUUUCACUCCAAACAUCAACCGACUGAAGAAUCCAAAAACGUUCCAAAGGUCAGAUUGAGGGAACUGCUCACGUGUUGCAUCAACCAUUUACACAACUCUUACUUAACCCUCUGAGCUUGUUUUUGGACAUCUUUUCCUGCGUGUCUGUGUGUCAUCUCCACAUCUCCACCACAACAAGCCUGCAGAUCUGGCCUGCUGGAGGAACAUGAUGGCGCCAAACUGAAUGCAACAGAGGACCAUCACAAGUCACCAUGGACCCUCAGAGCAGAAGACAAGCUGUAAGUCCAGCAGCACCGGAUGGGGGCUACGCCUGGUUCAUCCUGGCGUCUUGCUUCCUGGUUUUUGGGCUGACCUUUGGUGUGAUUAAGUCUUUUGGUGUCUUCUACGUCGAGAUACAUCAGUACUUUCAAACGUCAGCAGCAGGAACAUCAUGGAUUACCUCCAUUGCAGUGGCAACUGUUCACAUUAUAGCUCCGCUAGCAUCAGCUCUGAGUGCACGCUUCAGCCAUCGCUCUGUAGUAAUGGCGGGGGGACUGAUGUGCAGCGCAGCAGUUGUGUUUGGAGCGUUCGCCCGUAACCUGACUCAACUCUACAUAACUGUGGGCUUCCUUAACGGCUUUGGGUACGCGCUGACCUGGACCCCCACGGUGACCAUGCUGGGCUUGUACUUUGAUAAGAAACGUCCAGUGGCAAACGCCUUGGCCAGCUCUGGAGAGUGCAUAUUCACCUUUGUCCUCACCCCCCUGUUCCAGCUGCUGAUUGGCUGCUUCUCUUGGAGGGGUGCUUUACUGAUCCUCGGGGGGCUGCAGUUAAACCUGUGUGUUUGUGGGAUUCUGCUGAGGCCCCUGAAAGCCACACGAGAUGUGAAUCAUGUCGGUGAGGUCAGGAAAGAGGAAGGCUUGCCUCUCUCUACGGAGGAAUCAGAUGAGACCCAGAAGAGUUUUAAAAUAGAGAGUAAACCGGACAUGUCGGAAAAACCGGAGCAGGAGGAAAUAAAAUCACGUUUUGAUGAACUACGUGAGAAAUUCAAACUGACCAAAGACUCAAGCCGAAGCUCAAAGAGGACUGGGCUGAGGACCAGCGUCCUACACUAUGUGGAUUACACCCUUAUCACACACGCCCCUUUUAUGGUGUACUCCAUGUUUGGAGUGUUUGCUGCUUUGGGUUUCUUUGCUCCGUCUCUUUUCCUGGUUCCAUACGCUCGCAGCAAGGGCAUGGAGGAGUACCGCGCAGCCGCCCUCAUGUCCGUGUCUGCAGUGACGGAUCUCUUUGGAAGAGUGUUCUUUGGCUGGGUGGCGGGCCUGAGGCUUGUUGAGACGGUGCAGCAGCUGGCGGUCACCGUCAUGCUCCUCGGCGCCAUUUUGCUCCUGUGCCCACUUGCCUCCACGUUCUCAGAGCUGGUUGCUUUCAGUGCAGCUCACGGCCUGGUGUUCGGAGCGACGGUUGCCGUCCACAUCACGGUGCUGCCCGAGGUCGUGGGCGUCCACCGGCUCGGCAGCGCCCUGGGGUUUUUCAUGCUGAUGCGCAGCAGCGGAGGCCUGCUCGGACCGCCCAUCGCUGCAGUGGCCGGUGCGGCUCGUCCGUGCAGAACAUUCAUGUGUCCACAAAGCUGCAGGAGGGUAAGAAGACAGCAGAAAGCUUUUCCUGUCAAAUUCUUAUUAAUUUUGUCUGUUGAUUAAACUAAAGCUAUGAAACAGAAUGGGACAAAAACAUGUUGCUGGUUGUCACGUAAGCCAUUUUCGAUGUGUACACGUGUGGUUGCUGUUGUUUUGGUCUUUGCUCGUUUCUUCCCUCCUUCAGUUUUCGUUGUCGCUAUCCAACACCUGUUCUGUAUUUCAGUUAUCGCCCUCCCUGCACCAAUGCUCCCUGGUUUCAUGCUUCACUUUUGCAUCACUUUGUCUCGUUUCCCACCACCACUGUUCCAGCUCAUUGUUUUCCCUUUUCACUGUUUUCACUACUUUAUUAGAAGUGAAACGUUUGACAUUAACAACUCUGAUGGUUUUGGACAGCUGGUUUAAGCGUGUUACUGGAAACCAAACAAACAUCUAUUUGAAUCUGACGCUUGGUUUUAGGUAAGCUGCAGAAAGCUGAAUUAUUUAUCUGCUAACUUGAUCUUUUCUGUCAGCUGCUUGCGUCUUGUCCUGAUGAAGCCUACGGCACUGUGGGAAGCACUUCUCUUCUUCCCCGUCUCUGCAGCAGAAUGUUUAUAUUCUGAGCAACUACCAGGAAAUCCAGCUUCUAUGAACCUGAACCAAGAAGAGCCCCUAGAUAAACACUCUGACCCUGGAAUGAAUCAGUUACAUAAACUAGUAUAAAUAAACACGUCACUCCUCAUAAAACCCACAAUAACACACUUUCAAGGAAGUUUUUUCUAAGUGAGGCUUCCACUGUUUUCUCUCACACGCACGCACGCAUGAAAGUACACACACACACACACACACAUACACACACACGUUUCCCCAAAGGUCACUUCUGGUUUGGUUUUGCUUUGAAGUUGGUUGAUUUCAGGUCCAAACACACGUUUGGUCUAAAGGCGUGAGGGCAUGUGUGAAAAUCUGAUGUUGCAAAAAGGACAAACGUGAUGAAAAUGUUUUCAGAGCUCGGGCCUUGACCGUGCUGAGAUUUAUUAAAAAGAAAGGAAAAUCUAGAAUGCAGCUUUACAGCGCCGGGUCCAAAAGGGCCGAAAACCCAGACAGCCUUGAAGUGAAACAGGAUUUACUGAACCGCUCCCGAGUAAAUCUGGCCCCGCCGUGGAAUCCCGGAGCUGAAGGUCAGCGUGGAAGCAGCUGAAAUGCUUUUCCCUUUUUUCUCCGACCCCGGGGUCAUGUUGAGGAAUGCUGCGCAGCUACCUGAGCUCAAAGGGCUCAGUAACAGGAUGGGAGGGAAAUGUGGAAACGCAGCUUUAAACACAACUGUUGCUGAUCAGAGUGGUAAAAAAUGACUCAUUCAGAAAAUAUUGGUGCUUUUUUUAUGCUCUGGGUGAAUUAGAAAUAAAUGAGUGGAGCACGGGCAGAGGCUGAAAGAAUGUGCAAACACAAACAGCUUUGUUGUGAUUUAGUUUUGGGAAUGUUUUAGUGUCUAAAUUCACAGAGAAAUUGUUUAAUUUUAGCUAAUGACUCUUUUUGUGUACGCCUGACUCUAUUUGAUCUGCUUUCUAUUCGUCAUCCUGCCUUUCCCUUAUUUCUGUAGAAGUCCCUGCCAAACUGGAUCUUUAACAGCUGUUGCCUUUAAAACAUCGAGACUCUUGUGUUUCCAACAAAGCUAAAAGAAACGUGUUUGGACUGUAAAACUGCGGGACGUCUUUGGGGUUUGCUUGUCCUCACACCUUCAUUAAUCUGGUUUCCAGCCUUAAGGAUUUAAUGUUUUCACCCGCAUCAACACACGCACACGUCUGUAGAAAUGCUUCGACACAAAAGGUCUCGUUGUCAUUUAACAUGCAGAAAACAGCAAUUUUAACAUUAAAUGUUUGUUUCUCACUUUCUGACCACACCACGUCUUCUUCUAACCCUUUCACGCCCACAUGUUUCAUGCAGAUGCCAAGCUGGUCUGCAUUAUGAAACAAAAGUCACACGUUCACGUUUACCUCACUGCCUGCACUCAUAGAGGAGUCCGAGGAGCUACCCAGCUCUCCGAGCCACAUCUGGGUCUGAACAGCUGCCAAAUAUUACCAAUGAAUCCGGCUGGGAUUGAUUUUGACAGUCAGAGUGAGAGCAUGUGAUCAUUCAUUCAUUCAUUCAUGUUCCUGGGCAGAGGUGAGUCACACCAUCUCCUCUCACCAGAGUCUGAGUUAAUUCUCCACAGGUGAGGAGCAGAGGGAGCAACAGCUGCAGGCCAUUCCCAAAUCAGGAACGCGGGUUUAAAAGGAGGAUGGAGACACUUCACCUUGCCGGAUGAUUGCACCAGUUUAGGGAGCACCAGCCCUUGACUCUGAACUUUGAUCUUGUUAACUCGUGUUUUGACUCGCCUUCGACUGGAUCUUCUCAUCAUCUACUCACCCUCGCUGUCUUCGUUUUCUGGAUCUCUCACCCUCUGCCCAGCGUCCUCCCCGGCUUCCCCUCCUCUCCUGAUUAUCCUGAGCACCUCAGAGACUCGAGCCGUAUUGCUCAUCCCCACAGGACUUCCCUGGGCUGU
Molecule: RNA transcript, 4193 nt
Organism: Nothobranchius furzeri (turquoise killifish)
Lineage: Eukaryota; Metazoa; Chordata; Actinopteri; Cyprinodontiformes; Nothobranchiidae
Gene name: monocarboxylate transporter 13
Source: RefSeq, a predicted model, not a curated record